Molecule: microRNA precursor, 82 nt
Filed under: Branchiostoma belcheri (Belcher's lancelet)
Lineage: Eukaryota; Metazoa; Chordata; Leptocardii; Amphioxiformes; Branchiostomatidae
Description: let-7a-1 stem-loop (bbe-let-7a-1)
Gene: bbe-let-7a-1
Rfam family: let-7 microRNA precursor family
About the family: This family represents the microRNAs (miRNA) let-7 and mir-98. let-7 was identified from a study of developmental timing in C. elegans, and was later shown to be part of a much larger class of non-coding RNAs termed miRNAs. The extents of the hairpin precursors are not generally known and are estimated based on hairpin prediction.
Source: miRBase by way of RNAcentral
CUGAGGUGAGGUAGUAGGUUGUAUAGUUGAGAAGUACAACAUUGGAGAUGACUGUACAACCCGUUACCUUUUUUCGGGUCAU